UAAUCCCAUUUUAUAUUUGUGUAAACUGAGGCUGAGAAACAGUAAAAAGUGACAUGCCCAGAGUCACAAAGCUAGCAGUCUAUGAGCUAAAGUCUAUGAGGUGGAGAGCUCUGUUUAAAAAUUGGCUUUCACUUGUUGAUAUAUUCCUUGCAUGGCUUCAAUAAAAAUGUAAACCAGGGACUUUUUGUUGAUUCUAAGGCUAUUUAGUGGGUAUUACACAGUGACUUGCUAGUACUGAAAAAUCCAAGUGUCUGGUAAAUGUCCAGAGCUUUGGUACAGAUCCUAAAUGAAGCCAGUAAAAGGAGAAAGAGCUGCAGUUUCUCUAGAGGAAACACGAGACUUUCCAGGACUUUGUACAAAUCUACUUCCUUGACUCCUGUCUAGCCUGAUGGCAUGAUACAGCGCAGAUAGAUACAGAACGUUCCGCCACUUCCAAAACACGAGUAAGUUACUUUUCUUCUCUCUGAAGGGAAGGCAAAGAGUUGAAAUGAAAGUGCACGAUAUUUAUUCUUUUUACACUAUGCAGAUAGAAAGUACCAAGUUUAUACCUACAGAGAAGGAUCGAUUCUGCUUGGGACGGGAUGCGUUUGGUCGAAGAUCAGAUGGUAACAUAGUAGAAGCCUGUGACUGCUGAAUGGGACAGGCAUGACUCUUCCCCAAAUGAGCUCUCCUUCUCCUCUUCAGUCUUCCAUGCUUGCAAAGGACAACUGGAGGUGUGGCAAAGAAUCAAAAACUGAGGGGAUGUCCAUCCAUUGGGGAAUGACUGAACAAAUUGUGGUACAUGUUGGUGAUAGAAUAGUAUUGUGCUCUAAGAAAUGAUAAGCAAGAUGACUUCAGAAAAAUCUGGAAAAAUCUGCAGGAACUGGUGCAGAGUAAAAUAAGCAGAACUGGGAGAACAUUGUACACUAUAACAACAAAAUUGUAUGAUGAUUAUCUGUAAAACUUGGGUACUCUCAGCAAUGGAAUGAUCUGGGACAAUCCUUAAAGACAGGUAUGAUGGGUAAAGUAAUCAACCUCCAGAGAAAGAACUCUUGGAGUCUUCUUUCACAUCA
Molecule: long non-coding RNA, 1052 nt
Filed under: Monodelphis domestica (gray short-tailed opossum)
Lineage: Eukaryota; Metazoa; Chordata; Mammalia; Didelphimorphia; Didelphidae
Description: lncRNA (ENSMODG00000049546.1)
Source: RNAcentral